CCUACGGGGGGCAGCAGUAGGGAAUAUUGCUCAAUGGGGGAAACCCUGAAGCAGCAACGCCGCGUGGAGGAUGAAGGUUUUCGGAUUGUAAACUCCUUUUGUUAGAGAAGAUAAUGACGGUACCUGACGAAUAAGCACCGUCUAAAGCCGUGCCAGCAGCCGCGGUAAUACGGAGGGUGCAAGCGUUACUCGGAAUCACUGGGCGUAAAGGGCGAGUAGGCGGGAUAGCAAGUCAGAUGGGAAAUCCUAUGGUUUAACCAUAGAACUGCAUUUGAAACUGUUAAUCUAGAGUAUGGGAGAGGUAGGUGGAAUUCUUGGUGUAGGGGUAAAAUCCGUAGAGAUCAAGAGGAAUACUCAUUGCGAAGGCGACAUGCUAGAACAUAACUGACGCUGAUGCGCGAAAGCGUGGGGAUCAAACAGGAUUAGAUACCCGUGUAGUC
Molecule: ribosomal RNA, 440 nt
Filed under: uncultured bacterium
Lineage: Bacteria
Description: partial 16S ribosomal RNA
Rfam family: Bacterial small subunit ribosomal RNA
Source: RNAcentral